This 254-nucleotide ribosomal RNA is filed under the name uncultured bacterium. Its description in RNAcentral is "partial 16S ribosomal RNA". It matches the Rfam family "Bacterial small subunit ribosomal RNA", at positions 524 to 776 of the family's 1533-position model. The record is from RNAcentral.
UACGUAGGGGGCAAGCGUUGUCCGGAAUCAUUGGGCGUAAAGCGCGUGUAGGCGGCCCGGUAAGUCCGCUGUGAAAGUCCAGGGCUCAACCCUGGAAUGCCGGUGGAUACUGUCGGGCUCGAGUCCGGAAGAGGCGAGUGGAAUUCUCGGUGUAGCGGUGAAAUGCGUAGAUAUCGAGAGGAACACCUGCGGCGAAGGCGGGUUGCUGGGCUGACACUGACGCUGAUUGUGCGAAAGCUAGGGGAGCGAACGGG